This 436-nucleotide ribosomal RNA is filed under the name uncultured bacterium. Its description in RNAcentral is "bacterial SSU rRNA". It matches the Rfam family "Bacterial small subunit ribosomal RNA", at positions 28 to 478 of the family's 1533-position model. The record is from RNAcentral.
GACGAACGCUGGCGGCACGCUUAACACAUGCAAGUCGAACGAGAGAAGAGAAGCUUGCUUUUCUGAUCUAGUGGCGGACGGGUGAGUAACACGUGAGCAAUCUGCCUUUCAGAGGGGGAUACCGAUUGGAAACGAUCGUUAAUACCGCAUAAUAUAAUUGAACCGCAUGAUUUGAUUAUCAAAGAUUUAUCGCUGAAAGAUGAGCUCGCGUCUGAUUAGCUAGUUGGUAAGGUAACGGCUUACCAAGGCGACGAUCAGUAGCCGGACUGAGAGGUUGAUCGGCCACAUUGGGACUGAGACACGGCCCAGACUCCUACGGGAGGCAGCAGUGGGGAAUAUUGCACAAUGGAGGAAACUCUGAUGCAGCGAUGCCGCGUGAGGGAAGAAGGUUUUAGGAUUGUAAACCUCUGUCUUCAGGGACGAAAAAAGACGGUAC